CAGAGGGUGCGAGCGUUGUUCGGAAUUACUGGGCGUAAAGCGCGCGCAGGCGGCUUCUUAAGUCUGCCGGUGAAAUGCCGGGGCUCAACCCCGAGCGUGCCGGAGAUACUGGGAGGCUGGAGACGAGUAGAGGCGAGCGGAAUUCCGGGUGUAGCGGUGGAAUGCGUAGAGAUCCGGAAGAACACCGGAGGCGAAGGCGGCUCGCUGGGCUCGGUCUGACGCUGAGGCGCGAAAGCGUGGGGAGCGAACAGGAUUAGAUACCCUGGUAGUCCACGCCGUAAACGAUGGGCACUAGGCGCUGGGGGGAUCGACCCUUCGGUGCCGCAGCUAACGCGAUAAGUGCCCCGCCUCGGGGAGUACGGCCGCAAGGCUG
This 373-nucleotide ribosomal RNA is filed under the name uncultured organism. Its description in RNAcentral is "bacterial SSU rRNA". It matches the Rfam family "Bacterial small subunit ribosomal RNA", at positions 526 to 896 of the family's 1533-position model. The record is from RNAcentral.